Molecule: unclassified non-coding RNA, 17 nt
Filed under: Mus musculus (house mouse)
Lineage: Eukaryota; Metazoa; Chordata; Mammalia; Rodentia; Muridae
Description: oocyte_clustered_small_RNA13144
Source: RNAcentral
CUCCCCCAAGUAUACUU